CCAAAAAAAAAAUGCCUCCCCUAAAAUAUUCAAGAAAAAAAGAGCACCUCAGCCCCAUCCCUUAUAUAUGUCGCAGCUGUGGAAUGGGAGGGAGGUUUCUUCUGAUUAGAAACCAAAGGGAAAGACCUGCAGCUGUCUGCUGAAAUCACAUCCUUGUUUUCACUUAGGCUAGAGCCUUUCCCCAUGAAAAAUCCUUAUCCUGAGAGUUAACCUCUUUCACAUGGUAAAUUACAAAACAAGAGCAUGUGCCAUCCUCCAGAGGGAGCUGGGGAGACAAGUUAGUAUUGGCUACUGUAACUAAUUCCAUUUAUUCCCAGAAAUACAUCAUGCUAAAUAUUAUUGCUUUUAGCAUUAAUAAGCUAAUUUAAAAAAGAAAGACAUUGUUUUUCAUUUUCUCAUGCUGUUCUCACAUUUAAUUUCUCUGAAGACAGUAAUACCACUUCAGAGAGAGGGAGCUAUGACUGUGGAACCAUCAGAUCUAUUUUUGUUCCAGCCCACAGCACAGAUUUACCUCCGGUCUGAGCCUUCCUGGUGUAUUUUCCUGCCUGGCAAACCCUUGUUUACGAACUGGAGAGCAAAGAAAACCCUGAAGGAUAAAAAUUGUGAAAAAUGGAGAGCCUGCUGCUGUUACCUCAAACCUCACCUCAGACAGCGUACAGGGCAGUAACUUCAAUGUCUGAAGAUUCUGUCCUCAACAUACUGGAAUCUCCAAGAGCUUCCAAUGGUGGCUGAGCUGACUCUGUGCCCGUCCCAAAGCAUAAAUGAAGGCGCUGUGGCUUCAGAUGAUAAACCAGAUUGUCACCGUCACGGUGACAAUUCCAGUUGGCCUUGGCCGGUUUGGAGCUAAGAGCUGGCACUGGCUGAGCCCGCUGUGGUGACUUGACGGGAGAUUUGCUGGCCAACACAGGGAAAAUGGAUUUGUAAAAUAAUUGAAGAGUGGGGCAGGCAGAGCAGUGGAAUGGGAGUUCUGUGACCGUCGGCUUAACAUAACUUUAUAUAUACGGAAUUUUAAUACAGACUGAACAAAAAGCAAAGGAGAGGUGUGAAGAAGAACUACCCGUACUUAGCUCUUCUUUGUUUAUAAUGUUUUCCUAAUCUUAGUUAUUAAAAUGAAGUUUUAAUUUCUUUAGAAGUUAUUCGCAAAGGAAAAACUGUGUCAGAAAUAUCAUUGAUGUCAAAUUUGAAUAUAUCUCAUAAACUUUAGACUUUGAAAAAAUCCCUUCUGGUUUCUGUUACCUGGGUUUUUCAUCUUUUUUGGUAUUGCAGUGUCAGCUCACUGUUCCAGCAGGUAUCGUGCAGAAUAUUCUGGAGAUCUAGGUUUCCACUGCUUGUGCUGGAAACGUUGGCCAAGUGUUGGCCAAGUGCAGGG
RNAcentral lists this long non-coding RNA (1369 nucleotides) under Calidris pygmaea (Spoon-billed sandpiper). RNAcentral describes it as "lncRNA (ENSCPGG00000010849.1)". The record is from RNAcentral. Lineage: Eukaryota; Metazoa; Chordata; Aves; Charadriiformes; Scolopacidae.